CUGAUGAGGAGCUUAAUGCUGUUGUCACCAAAUUGAAGCCUUAUUUCAGGAAAUACGAAUAUCCAAAGAAGCCACCUCCAAGCUUCUAUCAAGUUACAAAUAACUCAAAGGAGAGACCAGAUGUUUGGGUUGAAAGCCCAGAAAAGUGAGCAGAAGUUUUCAUGAUGAGGUGGGGCUCUUAUUUCUGUGGUUCUUACCCGUAAGUCUUGCAUGUGCAGAUCAAUUAUAUUUUCCAUCACCGGUGAUAUUCGAACAAUCAGAUCCGAGGUAUUGUCCAGAGUAGAACUCCUUCCUUUUUCCGGUGCAAUGCAUAUAACCCUGAGCAUGUCCACUGAAACUAAACUGCUAAGACCCUGAUUGGUUCCAAGUUUCUUGUUUCCUUUAUAGUUAUUAUUGUCUCGCUUCUGCAGCUUUAUUGGGCUCCAAGUUCCUUGUUUCCUUGAUAUCUUAUCUCGCCUACAACUUUGCACAACAGCAUGCUAGUAUUUUGCCAUGCUUGGUAAUGUCUAAUGAUUUAAUUAAGUUGGUCUUGGCACCACAAUUUCUAUCAUUCAAGGUAUUUGCUGCUCCAUAUAGUUUGAGAUUUCCACGGAUUGAUCGUGUCACAUACGACAAACCUUGGCACAUGAAUGCCUUGAUGUGCAGUGUGAGUGGAUGAAAUCAGUUUACUGCCUUAUGGUCUUCAAUAGAUUAUAACAAGCUCGUCUAGGUUUCUUAUGUUCUUUAGGGUUCACUAUAUACUCUAAUUAGUUUUACAAAGUCUCUAGUCAAAUAGAUUUCCAUGUGUAAUUUUCUUUUCACCUGUUGCAGCAUUUGUUGAAUUGGUACAUUCAAGCAACGGCACAACACAAAGGGUGAUGGAUUAUGCAGUUAUGCAGGAAGACAAACCAAAACGUGCCAAGUCAUCUAGAGGAGGGAAGAAGAAUGUUUCAGUAGUUCCUUCCCACUUUAUUCAGACUGAUGUUUCUCAAGUUAAGGGUGAAACAUCAAUAUUUCCAAACAUGGUUUUCUGUAUCCCAUUAUGGCAGUUGUAGAGUGCGAUGCGUCUUGAUAGUUGAUCUUCCUUGACAUUUAUAGACUUGGUAAAUUUACCAUCAUCCCAUUCUCUUGAUUCCUUAAUUGCAUAAAAUGGUGGUUGGGAAAUUCUUGCUCAGACAAGCUACAUCUACAUUAUACAAGCUUACCACUGUAGAAAAAAGAGAGA
This is a non-coding RNA of Sesamum indicum (sesame), 1204 nucleotides long. The record is from RefSeq and is a predicted model, not a curated record. NCBI's taxonomy places the organism in Eukaryota, Viridiplantae, Streptophyta, Magnoliopsida, Lamiales, Pedaliaceae.